CACGCAAGGUCAGGCGUCCUGCUGGCGCCCUCUCGCCACCCUGCCCUCCCGUCAGAAGCCCGGCUCCUCGCCGGGGAAGGCCGGAUGCUGGCCCGCCGGGACCUGGGACUUGUGCCACAUGGAGUGUCGGGAGUCUCCAUUGCCGCGAGUUCUACACCACAGGGCCAGGCUGUUUGCUCCCCAUCGGUCGCUGCCCCCAGCACCCUGUUGUUAUUAAGGACUCAUUUGCUUGGAGCGGCAUCAUUACAAGGGUGUGGGGUACUACAUAUACUCCCUAUUUUUCUAUUUUCGAAAGGCUGCAGGCGCGAUGCACAGUGCGCUUGCACGGUGGGGCCUAGUGCUAGCCCGAGGAGCGGACGGGGGCCGGGCAGGGGCGGUGGGCGCCGGCCUCGUCUCGGUGCUGCUCGGUCAGGCUGUCCCGGCGCGGCGGCCUCGGGAGGCCCUGCCGUCCUUCACCCCUGGAGGCGGGCUGGGGGGCGGGUGCGGGGCGCUUCCCCUCCUCAGGGCCCUCAAACCGCAAGGGGGUUUCCGCUUCCCAGUCGAUGGUCGUCCUCUCCCAUCCCCGGCUGCAUCUCCAUUUACCCGUCGCCCAUUUCCUUUGCCCAUCCAGGCUCCUUGGCUCCACUGGGGUCUCCGUUCCCUUCUCCCGGUCCCCCCUCCAGGUCGCGGCUCCUUUGUCCAGGACUACGCAGGGGCUUGACCCCAGGGCGCUGGUUUAGGCCGGAUCUGGGGUCCCUUGUCACUCCCAGGCUUCUUCCACUUCCGAAUUCUGGAGAACCGGGAAUCAAGCCCUGCGCGUUCCUCUUCUUCCUCCUUCGUGCCGAAAGCACGCUUCAUGUCUGCCAGGGCAUCAGUUCUGAAAGUGAGCGGAGAACAAGGAGUUUCUUUUUCUUCCCCAGAAGUUGCCUUUUGUAAGGACUAUGUCUGCGCCAGGGCUUGAUACAUGUUGCUACUCCUGGGAGUGUGAGACUGGGAAGCUGAUGGAAAUGUCAGCAUUAGCUUUAAUGGUGAGGCCAAAGGGAGGAUGGACCCAG
Homo sapiens (human) is the source of this 1034-nucleotide long non-coding RNA. Ensembl annotates it as long intergenic non-protein coding RNA 1140. Lineage: Eukaryota; Metazoa; Chordata; Mammalia; Primates; Hominidae. The record is from Ensembl.